GGUGAGGUGUCCGAGUGGUUGAAGGAGCACGCCUGGAAAGCGUGUAUACGUUUAUAGCGUAUCAAGGGUUCGAAUCCCUUUCUCACCGCCA
Molecule: transfer RNA, 91 nt
Filed under: Acinetobacter sp.
Lineage: Bacteria; Pseudomonadati; Pseudomonadota; Gammaproteobacteria; Moraxellales; Moraxellaceae
Description: tRNA-Ser
Rfam family: tRNA
About the family: Transfer RNA (tRNA) molecules are approximately 80 nucleotides in length. Their secondary structure includes four short double-helical elements and three loops (D, anti-codon, and T loops).
Source: RNAcentral